RNAcentral lists this non-coding RNA (78 nucleotides) under Paracoccaceae bacterium. The record is from RNAcentral. Lineage: Bacteria; Pseudomonadati; Pseudomonadota; Alphaproteobacteria; Rhodobacterales; Paracoccaceae.
AUCGAGCGGCGUGGUGCUUUGUUGCCGGAUUGCGGGCCACGUUAAACAAGCCGCUAAAGAGGUCAGGGAUCAUGCAAC